This 253-nucleotide ribosomal RNA is filed under the name uncultured bacterium. RNAcentral's name for it is "partial 16S ribosomal RNA". It matches the Rfam family "Bacterial small subunit ribosomal RNA", at positions 524 to 776 of the family's 1533-position model. The record is from RNAcentral.
UACGGAGGGAGCUAGCGUUGUUCGGAAAUACUGGGCGUAAAGCGCACGUAGGCGGCGCAGCAAGUCAGGGGUGAAAUCCCGGGGCUCAACCCCGGAACUGCCUCUGAAACUGCAGUGCUAGAAUCUUGGAGAGGCGAGUGGAAUUCCGAGUGUAGAGGUGAAAUUCGUAGAUAUUCGGAAGAACACUAGUGGCGAAGGCGACUCGCUGGACAAGUAUUGACGCUGAGGUGCGAAAGCGUGGGGAGCAAACAGG